This 596-nucleotide ribosomal RNA is filed under the name Pneumocystis carinii. RNAcentral's name for it is "partial small subunit ribosomal RNA". The stretch from base 318 to 518 matches the Rfam family "Bacterial small subunit ribosomal RNA", at positions 984 to 1205 of the family's 1533-position model. The record is from RNAcentral. Lineage: Eukaryota; Fungi; Ascomycota; Pneumocystomycetes; Pneumocystales; Pneumocystaceae.
ACCCACGACAAAUCUUACCACUCCUUGUAUAAUAAAUAUUUUCCUUAAGGGAUUGUUUUGACUUUGAGGAACUUUAAUUAAAUAAUAACAUAUAUACUUAUGAUAAGUCUUUAAACUUACUUAUAUAUAUUUGUAAUACGUCAUCUAAACUUAUAUUAAUAAUAAUUCAAUAGUUAUUAUUGAAUCGAUGACAUAAUUGUUGUUAAUGUGAUGGAUAGUAAUAAUAAUUAAAUAUUGUUAUGGGUGUGAGUAACAUUAGUAAUAAUAACUAAUUAUUACCAUUAUAAACCACAGUAAUAAUAAUUGAUUAAAUAAUUAAAUGGAAUGAAUGAUUAAGCAAUUAGUAAUUCAUUAAUAUUUAUUACAGGUGUUGCAUGGCUGUCUUUAGUUCGUGUUGUGAAAUGUUAGGUUAAUUCCGAAAACGAACGCAAUCCUUAUCUUUAUUUAAAACUAUAUAAAGAGGUAUCUUUCCAUAAGAAGGAAUAAUUAGGGUGAAGACAAGUCCUCAUGACCCUUAUGGAGUGGGCUACAGACGUGCCACAAAUAUUUCUACAAAGGGAAGCAAAGAUGAAAGUCUGAGCUACUCCUCAAAAGAA